This 64-nucleotide transfer RNA is filed under the name Cavia porcellus (domestic guinea pig). It matches the Rfam family "tRNA". From Rfam's summary of the family: Transfer RNA (tRNA) molecules are approximately 80 nucleotides in length. Their secondary structure includes four short double-helical elements and three loops (D, anti-codon, and T loops). Further hydrogen bonds mediate the characteristic L-shaped molecular structure. tRNAs have two regions of fundamental functional importance: the anti-codon, which is responsible for specific mRNA codon recognition, and the 3' end, to which the tRNAs corresponding amino acid is attached (by aminoacyl-tRNA synthetases). tRNAs cope with the degeneracy of the genetic code in two manners: having more than one tRNA (with a specific anti-codon) for a particular amino acid; and 'wobble' base-pairing, i.e. permitting non-standard base-pairing at the 3rd anti-codon position. The record is from Rfam by way of RNAcentral. Lineage: Eukaryota; Metazoa; Chordata; Mammalia; Rodentia; Caviidae.
GGGGAUUUGGCUCAGUGGUGUAAGCGCCUGCCUGACGAGUACGAGGUUGUAAGUUCAAUCCCCA